Oncorhynchus tshawytscha (Chinook salmon) is the source of this 268-nucleotide long non-coding RNA. The record is from Ensembl. NCBI's taxonomy places the organism in Eukaryota, Metazoa, Chordata, Actinopteri, Salmoniformes, Salmonidae.
GUUAGAGUGUAGAGGCGGCAGGGUAGCCUAGUGGUUAGAGUGUAGAGGCGGCAGGGUAGCCUAGUGGUUAGAGUGUAGGGGCGGCAGGUAGCCUAGUGGUUAGAGUGUGGAGGAGGCAGGGUAGCCUAGUGGUUAGAGUGUAGAGGCGGCAGGGUAGCCUAGUGGUUAGAGUGUAGGGCCGGCAGGUAGCCUAGUGGUUAGAGUGUAGAGGAGGCAGGGUAGCCUAGUGGUUAGAGUGUAGAGGCGGCAGGGUAGCCUACUGGUUAGA